ACAGAUUCCAAUGCCAUAUUUUUGACUGGGACAAGUAGGGGUAGAACUGGUUUUUCAGCCAGGUCUUUACUCCUUAUCAGUUGGAGCAGGCAGGAUGAGGAAGACAGCCCUAGAGUCCUCAUCUUAUCCACUGUCUUCUGACCUCACUGCAAAGCUUGCUACCACUCCACAUGUCAUCUUAUUUCUGCCAGGCCUGGGCCUUAUUUUCUACCCUUCUUUUCCACUCUCUGAGGAAAUCCCAGAAGCCAUUCAGCAGUGCAGCACAUUGGUUUCUACACAAAAAUGGAAGCUGGAAGCCAGUUGUCCUUCCUGGGAUCACAGCUACACCACUUUUCUCAGCAUAUUCUGCAGUUUCCCUUAG
Molecule: long non-coding RNA, 361 nt
Filed under: Callithrix jacchus (white-tufted-ear marmoset)
Lineage: Eukaryota; Metazoa; Chordata; Mammalia; Primates; Cebidae
Description: lncRNA (ENSCJAG00000074577.1)
Source: RNAcentral